UAUUAAAAAUAUCAUCUAUUUGUACUAUAAAAAUUGAUAUGAUUGAUGGAAUAAUUAAAGAGUGAUACGUGGUGUGUCAUGUGUACCUCAUGUUAUGUAUAAUUACUAAUUUGUAAUAGUAAAAAUAGAUGGGAUUUUUAAUA
Molecule: microRNA precursor, 143 nt
Filed under: Gossypium arboreum
Lineage: Eukaryota; Viridiplantae; Streptophyta; Magnoliopsida; Malvales; Malvaceae
Description: MIR7502 microRNA precursor family
Rfam family: MIR7502 microRNA precursor family
Source: Rfam by way of RNAcentral